GACGAACGCUGGCGGCGUGCUUAACACAUGCAAGUCGAACGGAAAGGCCCUGCUUGCAGGGUACUCGAGUGGCGAACGGGUGAGUAACACGUGGGUGAUCUGCCCUGCACUUCGGGAUAAGCCUGGGAAACUGGGUCUAAUACCGGAUAGGAGCCAUUUUUAGUGUGAUGGUUGGAAAGUUUUUUCGGUGUAGGAUGAGCUCGCGGCCUAUCAGCUUGUUGGUGGGGUAAUGGCCUACCAAGGCGGCGACGGGUAGCCGGCCUGAGAGGGUGGACGGCCACAUUGGGACUGAGAUACGGCCCAGACUCCUACGGGAGGCAGCAGUGGGGAAUAUUGCACAAUGGGCGCAAGCCUGAUGCAGCGACGCCGCGUGGGGGAUGACGGCCUUCGGGUUGUAAACUCCUUUCGCUAGGGGCGAAGCUUUUUGUGACGGUACCUAGAUAAGAAGCACCGGCUAACUACGUG
RNAcentral lists this ribosomal RNA (465 nucleotides) under uncultured bacterium. RNAcentral describes it as "partial 16S ribosomal RNA". It matches the Rfam family "Bacterial small subunit ribosomal RNA", at positions 28 to 507 of the family's 1533-position model. The record is from RNAcentral.